This 389-nucleotide ribosomal RNA is filed under the name uncultured bacterium. Its description in RNAcentral is "bacterial SSU rRNA". It matches the Rfam family "Bacterial small subunit ribosomal RNA", at positions 30 to 421 of the family's 1533-position model. The record is from RNAcentral.
AUUGAAUGCUGGCGGCAUGCCUUACACAUGCAAGUCGAACGGCAGCGGACCUUCGGGUGCCGGCGAGCGGCGAACGGGUGAGUAACAUAUCGGAACGUACCUUUCAGUGGGGGAUAACGUAGCGAAAGUUACGCUAAUACCGCAUAUUCUGUGAGCAGGAAAGCAGGGGAUCGCAAGACCUUGCGCUGAUUGAGCGGCCGAUAUCAGAUUAGCUAGUUGGUGAGGUAAAGGCUCACCAAGGCGACGAUCUGUAGCGGGUCUGAGAGGAUGAUCCGCCACACUGGAACUGAGACACGGUCCAGACUCCUACGGGAGGCAGCAGUGGGGAAUUUUGGACAAUGGGCGCAAGCCUGAUCCAGCCAUGCCGCGUGAGUGAAGAAGGACCUCGG